This 460-nucleotide ribosomal RNA is filed under the name uncultured bacterium. Its description in RNAcentral is "partial 16S ribosomal RNA". It matches the Rfam family "Bacterial small subunit ribosomal RNA", at positions 338 to 795 of the family's 1533-position model. The record is from RNAcentral.
CCUACGGGUGGCAGCAGUGAGGAAUAUUGGUCAAUGGACGAGAGUCUGAACCAGCCAAGUCGCGUGAAGGAUGACUGCCCUAUGUAUUGUAAACUUCUUUUGUAAAGGAAUAAAACGAGGCACGUGUGCCUGGUUGCAUGUACUUUAUGAAUAAGGAUCGGCUAACGCCGUGCCAGCAGCCGCGGUAAUACGGAGGAUCCGAGCGUUAGCCGGAUUUAUGGGGUUUAAAGGGAGCGUAGAUGGGUGGGUAAGUCAGUGGGGAAAGUUUGCGGCUCAACCGUAAAAUUGCAAUUGAUACUGGCAGUCUUGAGUACAGGUGAGGUAGGCGGAAUUCGUGGUGUAGCGGUGAAAUGCUUAGAUAUCACGAAGAACCCCGAUUGCGAAGGCAGCUUACUAAACUGUGACUGACAUUGAGGCUCGAAAGUGUGGGUAUCAAACAGGAUUAGAUACCCGAGUAGUC